GCAGAGUAGGUUUGUGUGCGUUAAGUGCCGGCUGGACGGGGAGUUGCCAGCUGGACGAAAAGAGUAUCUUGCGGUACACAAUCCGCAUCCCGCUGC
Molecule: non-coding RNA, 96 nt
Filed under: human gut metagenome
Description: THF riboswitch
Rfam family: THF (Tetrahydrofolate) riboswitch aptamer
About the family: THF riboswitch presents a pseudoknot that joins P1-P2 and the loop of P3 and two THF binding.
Source: RNAcentral